RNAcentral lists this long non-coding RNA (705 nucleotides) under Trifolium pratense (red clover). RNAcentral's name for it is "long non-coding RNA (TPRA_LNC008269)". The record is from RNAcentral. Lineage: Eukaryota; Viridiplantae; Streptophyta; Magnoliopsida; Fabales; Fabaceae.
UUGAAUUAAUAUCACAAUUUUUAAUGUGGCCAACCAAAUCUCGCAUGCGUAGAACAUAAUAGAUUUAUAAAUAUCAUUACUCAAAAACAAAUAACCACACUCCACGAACAAAUAAAGACAUUAACUCUACAACCAAAUUUAUUCCGUGAGUUUAAUUCAGUUGACAAACACAUUACAUUAUAUAUUUAGGGUUUGAGGUUCGAAUUCGGUCAUCCCACUUAUCCUUCUUAAUGUUGGAAUUUCUAGCCACUAGACUUUUUUUUAUUGAAGAAGCUAAAUUAGUCUAUCCAAAUUGGCACUAGAGAGAAUCGAACCUGAGACCUUAAGGAGGAGCACACCCUCAGGUCCCAAGUCAAUACCACUAGACCGAUCAAAAUGAAUUUUCUAGCCAUUAGACUAGUUGACCAAAAUUAAAAAUAUCAUAUAUGAAUUGAGAGUAUAUAAUAAAUAGCGGAGCUGACCAACAAUUCUAAACCGAUAAGUAUUUAAUUCUUAUUCUCCCUUCGAUCUUAAAUAUAAAUAAAACGUCAAAUAUACCAGAUGGAGUGUAUCUUACGAAAAUGGUCGAGUUGACCAUCUAAGGAACGAGGGUGGUAUUUUUGAGGAUUUUGAUGCUUAUGAUUUGUUGCAAUGGUAAGGCUGAUAACUGCAAGGAACCAAACUAGCAAAGAUAGGUAAGACAUCAUUUUGUAUACUAUAUUUAUU